RNAcentral lists this ribosomal RNA (280 nucleotides) under uncultured prokaryote. Its description in RNAcentral is "partial 16S ribosomal RNA". It matches the Rfam family "Bacterial small subunit ribosomal RNA", at positions 355 to 626 of the family's 1533-position model. The record is from RNAcentral.
UGGGGAAUUGUUCGCAAUGGGCGCAAGCCUGACGACGCAACGCCGCGUGGAGGAUGAAGAUUUUCGGAUCGUAAACUCCUGUCGAAUGGGACGAAUAGCUCGGCCGCUAAUAACGGCUGGGAAUGACGGUACCGUGAGAGGAAGCCCCGGCUAACUCCGUGCCAGCAGCCGCGGUAAUACGGGGGGGGCAAGCGUUGUUCGGAAUUACUGGGCGUAAAGGGCGCGUAGGUGGCCAUAUAAGUCAGACGUGAAAGCCCUGGGCUCAACCGGGGAACUGCGU